RNAcentral lists this ribosomal RNA (254 nucleotides) under uncultured bacterium. RNAcentral describes it as "partial 16S ribosomal RNA". It matches the Rfam family "Bacterial small subunit ribosomal RNA", at positions 524 to 776 of the family's 1533-position model. The record is from RNAcentral.
UACGGAGGGUGCAAGCGUUAUCCGGAUUCACUGGGUUUAAAGGGAGCGUAGGUGGGCUGGUAAGUCAGUGGUGAAAUCUCCGGGCUUAACUCGGAACGGUCAAGUGAUACUGCAGUGCUAGAGUGCAGAAAGGGCAAUCGGAAUUCUUGGUGUAGCGGUGAAAUGCGUAGAUAUCAAGAGGAACACCUGAGGCGAAGGCGGGUUGCUAGGCUGACACUGACGCUGACAGCGCGAAAGCCAGGGGAGCAAACGGG